CUUUAACAUCAGCAUUCCGGCAGUAUGAUACAGACCAAGAUGGAGUUAUAACAAUACAUUAUGAGCAAUUUCUAAAAAUGGUGUUUGGCUUGAAGUGUUGGCCGUAAAACAUCGGGGUUGUCAAGCUCAAUAAUCACCAGUGAGGUUUGAGUUAUAAUAUUUAUUUUGGAAAAAAUAAAUGAUGUUAGAUAUUUAUCUUGGCAACAUCUUCAAUUUGUAUACUUAUCUGAAACUUAAUUCACUUUUUGAAUUACCGUAAAUGUGCAUGCAUCUUGUAACAGAAAAUUGUAUCUUCAAAAAUAAAACAGAAAUAUUAAUCGAUUUUCUAUGAGUGUAGACACAGUAUCAUCUUACACCUAUAUAUUAAGUGCAUGCUCUUUUAUUAUAUCCAUUCCAUCCAAUAUUCCAAUUUCUAAUAAUCAUUAGUUCCAACCAACCCACCCUACUUCAAGUGCCUGUAACCAGUUGAAGAUGCAAUUUUAUUUAAAAUUUAUUCUUGAACUGUCUUUGUAGCUUUACAGUUAAUUUAGUGAUUAAGCAAAACUAAUCUCAAAUUCUUAAUUUAAAUUGUAAAUCAUAGGCUUAGUAUCUUGGUGAACCAAGUGAAUUUCCCUAAAUUUAUAAAUUGGCCAAAUACAAUUGUUGUGCUCAAAGUACCUUGUGAGUUCAAGUUUUAAAUUAUAUUUUGCAUUUAAUAUUGUAUGUUAUUGUAAAGUAGUAAACAUUGCCUCGUUUCAUUAUCUGUGUCUUUCAGCAUAAAU
Zerene cesonia (dogface butterfly) is the source of this 761-nucleotide long non-coding RNA. RefSeq lists it as uncharacterized. The record is from RefSeq and is a predicted model, not a curated record. Lineage: Eukaryota; Metazoa; Arthropoda; Insecta; Lepidoptera; Pieridae. The transcript has 2 exons.